CUCUUCUCCGGUUGCAGUCUGAAAAUAGCACACGGCGAGGCGCAAGGGGGACCCGAAAGGGGCUCUGUCCUGCAGGAAGUCUAAUUCCCGAGCCUUUGGUGGUAUUGGGACCUGGGCCAGAGGAGGUGACCUCAGCCAGACAGCACCCCGGGAUUGUGCUCGUUGAUACCAGAGGCUUACAGAGCAGAGACACAGCGACCGUCAUCUCCUGGGCGCACUGAGUCACAGCCCAGCAGGUUGACUGCGUUACUAAGUGUGAGCUAACCUGCUAUGUGGAGCAAACUCUGCGCCCAUGUAAUUACAUACUCCAGUCAGCGGCUGGGUGUGUUCAUACGUUCUUGCUCAGAAUCUUUGCUCCAAGAAAAAGGGAGAAAUGAUAAAUCGGAACCACACUUUGGUUUCUCCACUUGAACACCAUUUCGUGCGCUAGUUGGGAAAAGAAUAAAGAUUGAAGAAGUCCUACGGUGAUGCGAAUUGAAGGAAAUUUGGAUCCUGUUUUUGUAAGGUCGCUUUUCUUUCAAAGACGCUACUACGCUGCCCCUGGUAAGCCCGCGUCCGUCUUUACCUCUUUUCUCCUUGCGUAAGUGGCUCUCUGGUUCAGAGAGGUGUGCCUCUGAAUGUUCGCCACUGAAGAAAAUGGUGGAAAAUCACCAAUAGAUUCUAACUUGGGACGCUGCAAAUUUUAAGAGAUUCGUAGCAGGAAGUCAUCUUCACAUGGACAAGUGUUCUUUUUUUGUUAGGCCAUUUUGUAGAACGUCUGAAUAUUUGUGGCCACUGAUCAAGAACUUGACUCAAAUUAACAUUUGGUGAACCUUUUCUUUGCAGACUUCCUAACCCUUACAUUAAAAGCAAAAAAAUUUAUUUACUUAUUUUGAGAGCAAGGGGUGGGGUGCAUGCGAGCAGGGAAGGGACAGAGAGAGAGAGAGAGAGAAAGAAAGAAUCACAGGCAGGCUCCACACUGUCAGCGCAGAGUUGGGCUCAGGGCUCCGUGUCACUAACGGUGAGAUCAUGACCUAAGCCAAAAUCAGGAGUCAGAUGCUUAAUGGACUGGGCCAUUCAGGCACCCCUAACCUUGACAUUUUAUAGGCUGAAAUGCUUGAUAAUACUUUUAAGUGCAUUCAGCAAGCAUUUACACCAGAUGCAUUUUGUUAUAUUUUGCUUAAUGUAUGCGCCUAAUAACGAUUGCCUCCCAUGACUGAUCUUUAGAUCUGUAUGUGUAUGUAACCACAUACAGAACCACUGGCACACAUUCUUUUACACUAAAUUUGUCCCCAGCUUGAUUUUUUCCUUAAAUUAAAAAAAAAAUUUUAAAUGUUUAUUUAUUUUUGAGACAGAGUGGGGGGGGGGUGGGGCGGGGGGCAAGGAGAGAGAGGAAGACGCAGAAUAUGGGGCAGGCUCCAGGCUCUGAGCUGUCAGCACAGAUCCUGACGUGGGGCUUGAACUCAUGAACCGUGAGAUCAUGAUCUGAGCUGAGGUCAGAGGCUUACCCGUCUGAGCCACCCAGGCGCCCCCAAUUUUAUUUUCCUUCUCAUUCUCAUUCUUCAUCUGCUAGUGUUAUGCUGAUUUAUAUAUUUGUUAAACCUAUUCCCAUCAUUUUGAUGUUAUGACAAGGUAACAAAUGAUGAAAUUAAGCAAUGCCUUCAUGGUUUUUGCUAGGAAAAAGCCAGAGAUAGUAUAAAGAGGACAAUGAAUAUAUAUAUAGAAGUUUUAGAUCCAGACUCCAAGCUCGGCCCAGCAUUAACUGAGUGAUCUUGGGAAGUAACUCAAGUCCUCUGAGCCUUAGUUUCCUUAUUUGAAAAUUAGGAAUAUUAGAACCUAUAUUGUGGGAUUAUUGUGCGAAUCAGAGAUGACAUUUAAAAUUCAUAUAACAGGGUGCUAUAAAUAGUAUUUUUAUCAUUAAUAAUGUUCACUGAUAUUAUGUAUUAUUAUUCCUGCACUAAGAUGCAGAACUCUCUAACAAUUACAAUGUAUCACCUUAUUUUUGAACAUUAAAGUGAAUGACUUUCAAAAGACAUGCAUCAAAGAUCAUUUCAUAAUUUUCUAAUAAUAAAAAUCUUCUCAUCUUACUUAAAAUGUGUUUCUUAUUUUUAAAGCAGUGAGUAGCUUUUGAGAAGUCUUUUUUUUUUUUUUUUGGCAUCUUUUUUUUUUUUUACAUCCAAGUUAGUUAGCAUCUAGUGCAACAAUGAUUUCAGGAGGAGAUUCCUUAGUGCCCCUUACCCAUUUAGCCCAUCCCCCCUCCCACAACCCCUCCAGUAACCCUCAGUUUGUUCUCCAUAUUUAUGAGUCUCUUCUGUUUUGUCCCCCUCCCUGUUUUUAUAUUAUUUUUGUUUCCCUUCCCUUAUGUUCAUCUGUUUUGUUUCUUAAAGUCCUCAUAUGAGUGAAGUCAUAUGAUUUUUGUCUUUCUCUGACUAAUUUCGCUUAGCAUAAUACACUCUAGUUCCAUCUACGUAGUUGCGAAUGGCAAGAUUUCAUUCUUUUUGAUUGCCGAGUAAUACUCCAUCAUAUAUACAUAUACAUAUAUAUAUGUGUAUAUAUAUAUAUAUAUGUGUGUAUAUAUGUGUAUAUAUAUAUAUAUAUAUCACAUUUUCNNNNNNNNNNNNNNNNNNNNNNNNNNNNNNNNNNNNNNNNNNNNNNNNNNNNNNNNNNNNNNNNNNNNNNNNNNNNNNNNNNNNNNNNNNNNNNNNNNNNNNNNNNNNNNNNNNNNNNNNNNNNNNNNNNNNNNNNNNNNNNNNNNNNNNNNNNNNNNNNNNNNNNNNNNNNNNNNNNNNNNNNNNNNNNNNNNNNNNNNNNNNNNNNNNNNNNNNNNNNNNNNNNNNNNNNNNNNNNNNNNNNNNNNNNNNNNNNNNNNNNNNNNNNNNNNNNNNNNNNNNNNNNNNNNNNNNNNNNNNNNNNNNNNNNNNNNNNNNNNNNNNNNNNNNNNNNNNNNNNNNNNNNNNNNNNNNNNNNNGUUGGCCAUCUGGAUGUCUUCUUUGGAGAAGUGUCUCUUCAUGUCUUUUGCCCAUUUCUUCACUGGAUUAUUUGUUUUUUGGGUGUUUGAUAAGUUCUUUAUAGAUUUUGGAUACUAACCCUUUAUCUGAUAUGUCAUUUGCAAAUAUCUUCUCCCAUUCUGUCGGUUGCCUUUUAGUUUUGCUGAUUGUUUUCUCUGCGCAGAAGCUUUUUAUCUUGAUGAGGUCCCAAUAGUUCAUUUUUUGCCUUGGUUUCCCUUGCCUCUGGAGAUGUGUUGAAUAAGAAGUUGCUGCGGCCAAGAUCAAAGAGGUUUUGCCUGCUUUCUCCUCGAGGAUUUUGAUGGUUUCCUGUCUUACAUUUAGGUCUUUCAUCCACUUUGAGUUUAUUUUUGUGUAUGGUGUAAGAAAGUGGUCCAGGUUCAUUUUUUGCCUGUCACUGUUCAGUUUUCCCAGCACCACUUGCUGAAGAGACUGUCUUUAUUCCACUGAAUAUUUUUCCUGCCUUGUCAAAAAUUAGUUGGCCAUACACUUGUGGGUCCGUUUCUGGGUUCUCUAUUUUGUUCCAUUGAUCUGAGUGUCUGUUUUUGUGCCAGUACCAUACUGUCUUGAUGAUGACAGCUUUGUAGUAUAGCUUGAAGUCUGGGAUUGUGAUGUCUCCUGCUUUAGUUUUCUUUUUCAAGAUUGCUUUGGCUAUUCAAGGUCUUUUCUGGUUCCAUACAAAUUUUAGGAUUAUUUGUUCUAGCUCUCUGAAGAAUGCUGGUGUUACUUUGAUAGGGAUUGCAUUGAAUAUGUAGAUUGCUUUGGGUGGUAUCGACGUUUUAACAAUAUUUGUUCUUCCUAUCCAGGAGCAUGGAAUCUUUUUCCAUUUUUUUGUGUCUUCUUCAAUUUCUGUCAUAAGCUUUCUAUAGUUUUCAGUGUUUAGAUUUUUCACCUCUUUGGUUAUAUUUAUUCCUAGGUAUCUUAUGGUUUUUGGUGCAUUGUAAAUGGGAUCGAUUCCUUGAUUUCUGUUUCUGUUGCUUCAUUGCUGGUGUAUAGGAAUGCAACUGAUUUCUGUGCAUUGAUUUUAUAUCAAGCAACUUUGCUGAAUUCAUGAAUCAGUUCUAGCAGUCUUUUGGUGGAAUCUUUAGGGUUUUCCAUAUAGAGUAUCAUGUCAUCUGUGAAGAGUGAAAGUUUGACCUCCUCCUGGCCGAUUGGGAUGCCUUUUAUUUCUUUGUGUUGUCUGAUUGCAGAGGCGAAGACUUCCAAUAGUAUGUUGAAUAACAGUGGCGAGAGUGGACAUCCGUGUCUUGUUCCUGACCUUAGAGGGAAAGCUCUCAGUUUUUUCCCCAUUGAGGAUGAUAUUAGCAUUAGGUCUUUCUUAUAUGGCUUUUAUGAUCUCGAGGUAUGAUCCUUCUAUCCCUACUUUCUUGAGGGCUUUUAUCAAGAAGGGAUUUUGUAUUUUGUCUACAUCUACUGAGAGACUCGUGUGAUUCUUGUCCUUUCUUUUAUUGAUAUGAUGAAUCACAUUGAUUGUUUUGUGGAUAUUGUACCAGCCCUGCAUCCCAGGUAUAAAUCCCACUUGGUCGUGGUGAAUAAUUUUCUAAUGUAUUGCUGGAUCUGGUUUGCUAAUAUCUUAUUGAGGAUUCUUGCAUCUGUGUUCAUCAGGGAAAUUGGUCUACAGUUCUCCUUUUUAGUGGGGUCUUUGUCUGGUUUUGGAAUCAAGGUAAUGCUGGCUUCACAGAAAGAGUUUGAAAGUUUUCCUUCCAUUUCCAUGUUUUGGAACAGCUUCAAGAGAAUAGGUGUUAACUCUUCCUUAAAUGUUUGGUAGAAUUCCCCUGGAAAUCCAUCUGGCCCUGGACUCUUGUUUUUGGGGAGACUUUGAUUACUAAUUCUAUUUCUUUACUGGUUAUGGGUCUGUUCAGAUUUUCUAUUUCUUCCUGUUUCAGUUUUGGUAGUGUAUAUGUAUGGAGUUUGUCCAUUUCUUCCAGAUUGCCCAUUUUAUUGGCAUAUAAUUUCUCAUAAUAUUCUCUUAUUAUUGUUUAGGCAACAGGCCCUGCUCAUCGUUUCAUGUCUGUAUGUUGGCUGCUCUUUGAGAUAGUUGCCACCCAUACUCAGUCAGCUAGUACCCAGGAGUUUGCAUGGUAUAAAACGUGGCUGCCCCUUGGCAAAGACCAUGGAUGGGUUGCCUUCUCUCCUAUGGCGUUGUGAGCAUGAUAGCAAUGUAUUUGACAAAUCUACCAUAACACAAGAAGUUGAAUGGAAAAUUAAUGGUUUGGGUUCCUUGAAGAGGUGACAGAGCAUGGAACCAAGAGCACAGAGAACUUGAUUUGGACUGAAACAAGAGGAGACCUUAUUUCCCAAGAGAAGAUUGGAGGGAUGGAUGCACAGGUUGAUAAAUUUUCUUGGUCUAUCAGGAGGGAAUUGAUGGAUUUCAAGCUGAUGGCCUCAGUUUCCUCAAUGACUUAGGACGCAAGACUAAAGAGAUGGGACAGUAGGAUUUAGGUCUUCAGAAUAUGGAAAUGGCUUGGAUUUACAACUGAGAGGAAUGGGAAACACAGAAAGUUAGGUGGUCAGCUCUGGGAAUCCAACAGAGCGUAGAGGACUUGAAUUGCUUGCGGUAGUGCAAUUUUAUCCAGAAGUGGACGUUGCCUGUUGUGUCUCCCAGAGUGGAAAAGAAAAAAUUUCAAUUCUGUUGUUCUACAUUAUUCUAAUUUGUCUUAAGCAGAACUUUUCUGGGACAUCUGGAUGACUCAGUGGGUUAAGUAUCUGACUCUUGAUUGCAGCUCAGGUCACGAUCUCACAGUUCAUGAGUUGGUUCAGGAGUUUGAGCCCCACAUCAGGCUCUGCGCUGACAGCAUGGAGCCUGCUUGGGGUUCUCUCUCUCCCUUUCUGUCUGUUCUUCCCCACUCUCUCAAUCUCUUUCUCUCUCAAAAUAAAUACAUAAACUUAAAAAAAUGUAGAGCUUCUCUAAUCCAUCCAUUAUAUUAAAGAAUACGGUAUUUUUCCCAGACUAUUCAUAGGAUUUCUAAAAUAGUCAUUCCACUUUUAAGAUUGCAUGAUGUCAAAUAUAGUAUUUUAAGUUACAUCUAUAAUGCUUUUAAAAAAGGUUCCUAAAGAAGAUGGCUUUCUGAUGCAGAAACAAUAAAGAAAGGAAAAGGGUAAAUACUAUGGGGGGAAGGGUAGACUGUCUGUGUAAGCAUAGAAAAUAUCGAUUAAAAAAAUGGUUUCUGGGGGCGCCUGGGUGGCUCAGUCAGUUCAGUGACUGACUCUUGGUUAUGGCUCAGGUCCUGAUCUCAGGGUUCAUGAGUUCAAGCCUGCAUCAGGCUCCGUGCUGACAGUGUGGAGCCUGCUUGGUAUUCUCUCCCUCUCUGUGCCCUUCCUCCAUUUGUGCUGUCUCUUCCUCUCUCAAAAUAAAUAAAUAAACUUAAAAAAAAUUUAAACCGUGGUUUCUGAAAUUAGGCUUUCUGGUUUUCAAAUUCCAGCUGCAUCACUUAAUAUCUGUGAGAUCUGGAGCAAGUUAAACUGUUGCCUCAACUGAGGAUAAUAUCUAUAUCAUAGGGUUGUUGAUAGGAUUAAAGGAAGCAGUUUACAUAAAGAUGUGCUAUAGUUCCUGGCCCCAAAUCAGUAUGUAAUGUUUACUGAGCACAAUUAAGAUGUUUCUUAUUGUCGCUUUUCCUUUAGCCAAGUAAACUGACAAUGGCCAGCUUGUCAUAGAUCUUUGUGAUCUCACAACUACAGUAAGCAACUAACUUCGUGCCUGUGCCAAGAAAGCUUUAACUCUAGUAUCAUACUGCCCUGCUGUUUCACUUUUCCUUUCCUGGUCAUUGAUUUAGUGCUUAUUUGUUUUUUAUUGCAGUAGAAACAGCCAAAAGAAGAAGGGACCAUAUGUAUGGAUGGGGCUGGUACGAUCCAUGCUUCAACAGCAGUCCCUUCAACCUUGCUUGAAUGUGGAGGUUCGAUAGACCACCAGACUCCAGGGAUAAACUACCUUGGCUUGAAAGGAACGCUAUCAUCACUGAUAGCUGACCACUAUGUUGUUCGCCAGCAUAUGAAAGCUACGCUGAAUUGUUUAACAACGUUGUGUUUCAACUGAUGAGUAGAAAACUUCACUGAACCAUGCACAAUAAUGGAGGUGACCUUCUAUUCUACAUUCUCUAUUAUACCUUGCUAUGGGAGUUAUUUUGCAAUGACAAAAGUUCCUGUCUAGGGUCUUGACACAUCUUAAGAUUUUGAUAUUGGGAAUUCUUCCUUCCCAUCGAAUGUUGGUUCUAAAUCCAUUGAACUAUUUUAAGUGUUUAAAUUGCCAGUAUUCUUUUUGUGCUUUGCUAUUCACUUUCUGGUCCUGGUCUACAAGGAUUUUCCUGUACAUGCCAGUACUGUUGUUCAGAGACAUCAUUUCCUUGAGAAAGAAGUCCCCUCCAAAAUGUCUUGUUAUCCCAUCACAAAGAUGAAUAAUGUGUUCUAAAUCCUGGUAAAAAUUUCUCCUCUUCCUUGUGUUUUUCUUUUUUUUUUUUAAAUGUUUUUUCAACGUUUAUUUAUUUUUGGGACAGAGAGAGACAGAGCAUGAAUGGGGGAGGGGCAGAGAGAGAGGGAGACACAGAACCGGAAACAGGCUCCAGGCUCUGAGCCAUCAGCCCAGAGCCCGACGCGGGGCUCGAACUCACGGACCGCGAGAUCGUGACCUGGCUGAAGUCGGACGCUUAACCGACUGCGCCACCCAGGCACCCCAUUCCUUGUGUUUUUCAAGAACAAGCAUAGACAACGGCAAUAAUUUAAACAUCUUAUUUUUCCCCGAAAUGUUAGCUUUCCAAAAUGGGAAGAUCUCUUUGAGUGAUUAGAUCUUUAAGAUAAUUGGUUAGCUGACUUUAAAGCCAUCGUUAUUUCCUUAUUCCCAAGAGCAGAGAACUUUCAGAGAAAAGUUUAUUAGUUCUUCUUUAAUACAUUAAUAAGUUUCACGUUGUCUCACUGGCCCACGCAUGAACCAAUCUUUCAGGUUUUGUCACUGUUUUCUUGUAACAUAAACCCGUAUUUCUUGGGUUGGGUUGCUUUGCCUAUACUGUGUAUCAGUAGGUGUUUCUAAGCUAGGAAAGCAGUGUAGGCAUCUAUGAACUCACAUACUUGGUGGCAGCAUCUUUAGUAAACAGGAUAACUGCUCCAACUGAAGCAACCAUUAUGGUUCCAUAAACAACACCCGUCUUUCCCCCGCCUUUUUUGUCUUAUAUCUUGCACUGCCUUGUCUGAUUCUGUACUCUAGGAGAUAAAGCAGUUACUGCUAAAUCAUUCAUUAGUUAAUACCUUAGAUGCAAGAGCCAUGGUGAAAACUUGGUUGAUUCUCAGAUAUUCAUGCCUUGCAUUAAGUAGACUGUCAGCAAUUAUUUGUUAAAAAGGUGUAAGUAUGAAUGAAUAAAUGACAUAGAGCAGACAGUAUGGGAAGGUGAAAUGUGGUAAUAAUAUUGCUUUGUAUUUAUGCAAUGCAAUUACCUUCCCAGCUAUCCAUGACAUUGUGGAUGUGGAAAUCAAAACAAAGGUUAGGUGCCUUGUCUAAAGUCAUCUCAUCUAACUAGUACUUAGUAGAACCAGUUCUGGAAUGUUUCAGUGGAAAGAGCCAUCUUUGUGUUUCUUUUCCUGACACCUACCCCAUUCCUUACAAAUGAACAGUGACCUCAAAAAGUGUCAUUUGUAGCUGGGGCUAAAAGUAUAAAUAUUGCGUAUAACGCUAUAAUAGUUACUAUUAGUAAACCACUCAACAUUCAUUCUGCCUUUUUUCUUGGAAUCAAUGUGUGUACGUAUUCACCUUCAAGGAAGGUCAGUCUGUCCCCACUUAAGGGAAGAGUCCUGAUUGGUUUAAACCAACCCUGGUAACUAUAUUGUUCUUGCCAGUUUUGGUUAAAUAAAGAGCAUGUCAGGCACCUGGGUGGCUUAGUCAUUAGGUAUCUGAAUCUGACUUCAGCUCAGAUCAUGAUCUCACGGUUUGUGAGUCUGAGUCCCUCAUGGGGGUGAUCUCGAGCCAUGCUUUGGGUGAGCUCAUGCCCCACUUCAGGUGAACCCUGCUUCUCUCUCCCUCCCUCUCUCUCUCUGCCUCUCAUAGGAUUCUGUCUUUCUCUCUCCCUCUUUCUCUCUGCCCCUCACUCACUUGUGCCCUCUCUCUCUCUCUCUCUUUAAAAAAAAAAAAGAACAUGUCAUUCAAUUCUAGGCACUGAGAUAUGAAGGACCAUCUACUGAGCAGUUUCUGAGAAAGUUGUUUUGGUUCUAAAAAAGACGAGUGAUGGGGCAAUAAACACUCAACACUUUAUAGGAUCAGUGGAUUGGAGAUCCUAAUGACUCAAAGGAGUAUUGCAGUUGGCACAGUUCAAUAUUCUGGAAGGAAAGGAGAUGGUAUUCAGUGAAUGAAAUGCCUAAAAUGGGUAUUUCAAAGAUGGUGGAGUACUUCUUAUUGAUUAAAUGAGACAGUUUAGAAUAUAAGAUUAAGAAAACUUAGCCAAGGCAAGUUAUAGAAUACAAUUCUUUUAGAAUUAAGGAGAUACAAACAAAGAAACAAAAAACAGGCCAAGAAAUCCUGACUCAAAAUUUUUCCUCUGGUUCCAAAUUUCUGUUCCUGCAGGAUUUAAGCCCCAGUGGAUCCUCACCUUCUAAAAGUCUAUGCACUUCUCCCUCUAUGCACCUCAGAUCCCCAGCUCACUCAACAACUAUUCCAUGAAACUUAUUUAAAAAAAUUUAUUUUACACCAACAUUUUGUUUUUGAUAGAUUGGACUGAUGGUUCGCAAAGACGAAAGAGAUGGACAGCACAGAGAUGCCAAUAAUUUUAAAUAUAAUCUUAAAAAAAACUUCAUUCUUAAAGUGAGUGAGAACAGUAUACAUAAGGAAGAGGCAACUGCCCUGGUCAUUGUCACACCCACAUGUGAUGACGGGACCUGCCGCGGGUAUCUUGCAAGCAGACAGGAGCCAGCUUGC
RNAcentral lists this long non-coding RNA (9876 nucleotides) under Lynx pardinus (Iberian lynx). The record is from RNAcentral. Lineage: Eukaryota; Metazoa; Chordata; Mammalia; Carnivora; Felidae.